GGUGCAUUUCACAUAAGAGGGAAACGGACAAUACAUUUGUGUCCUCCACUGUUUGGCAGUUUAUCGUCUCCCAAACACGGUUAAAGACUUUUUGAAGUAAAGAGGAGCAUCUCAUCUGGACCUGAUGUCUAUCAUGGAUAUCUAACUGCAGUACUACGUUGGGGCCAGAUUUGAGCUGUUUGUUCCAGACCAGGACUCUGGCUGAGGAGAGCUGAUGGAGGAGCCAAGACUCUGGAGGACGACAUCACUCUACCAACAAGGAUCCUAGUCAGUUUGCAUAAAAGCCAAAUUACAUUUGUAACCAGACCAGGAAUCUGGAGGACUGACGGAGAAGCCAUACCUCUGGAAGGCAAAUCCUGAGGACGACCAGGACUCUACCAUCAAGGAUUCCUCACACACCUGAGCUGAACCUCACCUGAUCCUGUUUGGUCGGGGUCAGACUCACCUGAGCUGAACCCCACCUGAUCCUGCUGGUCCCGUCUCCUCAGUUUCUUAGCCUCGUCUUCCAGAAGUCCUGCUGAACUCAGCGGUCUGAUCCCGAUGGAUCAUUGACCUCCAGUGGGAGUGAUCUUCUUGACCACACAAGUACCUGUGUGCUUCCACACGCCUUACCCUGACGUCUGUCACUAACCUCACUACUUCACAAAUCUCUGCUCCUUACCUUCUUCUUCCUUCUCCGUGGUUCGAACCUUUACUCUGAAGGAGUGUCUUCUUGAACCUUUACACUGAAGGACCGUCUUCCUGCCCUCAGAGGGUUCAGCGUUAGGGUUGAGAGUCAGGGUUUAGAGUCAGGGACAGAGCUGGUCAGGGAGGACUGGUUUUACACAAACCCCUUCAUUUGCUUUUGUGAAUGGUGGUGACAUUUUGAAAUGAUUAAUUUGGGAAAAUGUUUUCCUCUGCUUUCCUUUGCAAAAGUAUGUAUUCAACUUCUGUCAAGUGUUUUUGUUUAUACUGUAUAUUAAAAUUCUACAUUGAC
Long non-coding RNA from Gadus chalcogrammus (walleye pollock), 976 nucleotides. RefSeq lists it as uncharacterized. The transcript is spliced from 6 exons. NCBI's taxonomy places the organism in Eukaryota, Metazoa, Chordata, Actinopteri, Gadiformes, Gadidae. The record is from RefSeq and is a predicted model, not a curated record.